This 717-nucleotide ribosomal RNA is filed under the name Albidovulum sp. RNAcentral describes it as "partial 16S ribosomal RNA". It matches the Rfam family "Bacterial small subunit ribosomal RNA", at positions 1 to 764 of the family's 1533-position model. The record is from RNAcentral. Lineage: Bacteria; Pseudomonadati; Pseudomonadota; Alphaproteobacteria; Rhodobacterales; Paracoccaceae.
CAACUUGAGAGUUUGAUCCUGGCUCAGAACGAACGCUGGCGGCAGGCCUAACACAUGCAAGUCGAGCGAGACCUUCGGGUCUAGCGGCGGACGGGUUAGUAACGCGUGGGAACGUGCCCUUUGCUACGGAAUAGUCCCGGGAAACUGGGUUUAAUACCGUAUGUGCCCUUCGGGGGAAAGAUUUAUCGGCAAAGGAUCGGCCCGCGUUGGAUUAGGUAGUUGGUGGGGUAACGGCCUACCAAGCCGACGAUCCAUAGCUGGUUUGAGAGGAUGAUCAGCAACACUGGGACUGAGACACGGCCCAGACUCCUACGGGAGGCAGCAGUGGGGAAUCUUAGACAAUGGGGGAAACCCUGAUCUAGCCAUGCCGCGUGAGCGAUGAAGGCCUUAGGGUUGUAAAGCUCUUUCAGCUGGGAAGAUAAUGACGGUACCAGCAGAAGAAGCCCCGGCUAACUCCGUGCCAGCAGCCGCGGUAAUACGGAGGGGGCUAGCGUUGUUCGGAAUUACUGGGCGUAAAGCGCACGUAGGCGGACUAUUAAGUCAGGGGUGAAAUCCCGGGGCUCAACCCCGGAACUGCCUCUGAUACUGGUAGUCUUGAGUUCGAGAGAGGUGAGUGGAAUUCCGAGUGUAGAGGUGAAAUUCGUAGAUAUUCGGAGGAACACCAGUGGCGAAGGCGGCUCACUGGCUCGAUACUGACGCUGAGGUGCGAAAGCGUGG